RNAcentral lists this ribosomal RNA (494 nucleotides) under uncultured bacterium. Its description in RNAcentral is "bacterial SSU rRNA". It matches the Rfam family "Bacterial small subunit ribosomal RNA", at positions 30 to 521 of the family's 1533-position model. The record is from RNAcentral.
AUUGAACGCUGGCGGAAUGCUUUACACAUGCAAGUCGAACGGCAGCACGGGGCAACCUGGUGGCGAGUGGCGAACGGGUGAGUAAUACAUCGGAACGUGCCCAAUCGUGGGGGAUAACGUAGCGAAAGUUACGCUAAUACCGCAUACGAUCUACGGAUGAAAGCGGGGGAUCGCAAGACCUCGCGCGAGUGGAGCGGCCGAUGUCAGAUUAGGUAGUUGGUGGGGUAAAGGCUCACCAAGCCAACGAUCUGUAGCUGGUCUGAGAGGACGACCAGCCACACUGGAACUGAGACACGGUCCAGACUCCUACGGGAGGCAGCAGUGGGGAAUUUUGGACAAUGGGCGCAAGCCUGAUCCAGCCAUUCCGCGUGCAGGAUGAAGGCCUUCGGGUUGUAACUGCUUUGUACGGAACGAAACGGCGAGCUCUAAUACAGUUUGCUAAUGACGGUACCGUAAGAAUAAGCACCGGCUAACUACGUGCCAGCAGCCGCGGU